This 1494-nucleotide ribosomal RNA is filed under the name metagenome. RNAcentral describes it as "bacterial SSU rRNA". It matches the Rfam family "Bacterial small subunit ribosomal RNA". The record is from RNAcentral.
AGAGUUUGAUCCUGGCUCAGAUUGAACGCUGGCGGCAUGCCUUACACAUGCAAGUCGAACGGUAACGCGGGGGCAACCCUGGCGACGAGUGGCGAACGGGUGAGUAAUACAUCGGAACAUAUCCAGUAGCGGGGGAUAACCUAUCGAAAGAUGGACUAAUACCGCAUACGAUCUACGGAUGAAAGCAGGGGACCGCAAGGCCUUGCACUAUUGGAGUGGCCGAUGUCGGAUUAGCUAGUUGGUGGGGUAAAGGCUUACCAAGGCGACGAUCCGUAGCUGGUCUGAGAGGACGAUCAGCCACACUGGAACUGAGACACGGUCCAGACUCCUACGGGAGGCAGCAGUGGGGAAUUUUGGACAAUGGGCGCAAGCCUGAUCCAGCCAUGCCGCGUGAGUGAAGAAGGCCUUCGGGUUGUAAAGCUCUUUCGGUGAAGACGAAACGGUUAGCGCUAAUAACGCUGACUAAUGACGGUACUCACAGAAGAAGCACCGGCUAACUACGUGCCAGCAGCCGCGGUAAUACGUAGGGUGCAGGCGUUAAUCGGAAUUACUGGGCGUAAAGCGUGCGCAGGCGGUUUGCUAAGACAGGUGUGAAAUCCCCGAGCUUAACUUGGGAAUUGCGCUUGUAACUGGCAAGCUAGAGUGUGGCAGAGGGGGGUGGAAUUCCACGUGUAGCAGUGAAAUGCGUAGAUAUGUGGAGGAACACCGAUGGCGAAGGCAGCCCCCUGGGUUAACACUGACGCUCAUGCACGAAAGCGUGGGGGGCAAACAGGAUUAGAUACCCUGGUAGUCCACGCCCUAAACUAUGUCAACUAGUUGUCGGGGAAGAAAUUCCUUGGUAACGAAGCUAACGCGUGAAGUUGACCGCCUGGGGAGUACGGCCGCAAGGUUAAAACUCAAAGGAAUUGACGGGGACCCGCACAAGCGGUGGAUUAUGUGGAUUAAUUCGAUGCAACGCGAAAAACCUUACCUACCCUUGACAUGCUAGGAAGCCCGCAGAGAUGUGGGUGUGCCCGAAAGGGAACCUAGACACAGGUGCUGCAUGGCUGUCGUCAGCUCGUGUCGUGAGAUGUUGGGUUAAGUCCCGCAACGAGCGCAACCCUUGCCACUAGUUGCUACAUUUAGUUGGGCACUCUAAUGGGACCGCCGGUGACAAACCGGAGGAAGGUGGGGAUGACGUCAAGUCCUCAUGGCCCUUAUGGGUAGGGCUUCACACGUAAUACAAUGGUCGGUACAGAGGGCUGCCAACCCGCAAGGGGGGAGCUAAUCCCAGAAAGCCGAUCGUAGUCCGGAUUGUAGUCUGCAACUCGACUGCAUGAAGCCGGAAUCGCUAGUAAUCGCGGAUCAGCAUGUCGCGGUGAAUACGUUCCCGGGUCUUGUACACACCGCCCGUCACACCAUGGGAGUGGGUUCCACCAGAAGUAGUUAGCCUAACCGCAAGGAGGGCGAUUACCACGGUGAGAUUCAUGACUGGGGUGAAGUCGUAACGAGGUA